UGAACGCUGGCGGUAGGCCUAACACAUGCAAGUCGAACGGCAGCACAGCAGUAGCAAUACUGUGGGUGGCGAGUGGCGGACGGGUGAGGAAUACAUCGGAAUCUACCUUUUCGUGGGGGAUAACGUAGGGAAACUUACGCUAAUACCGCAUACGACCUUAGGGUGAAAGUAGGGGAUCGCAAGACCUUACGCGGAUAGAUGAGCCGAUGUCGGAUUAGCUAGUUGGCGGGGUAAAGGCCCACCAAGGCUACGAUCCGUAGCUGGUCUGAGAGGAUGAUCAGCCACACUGG
Molecule: ribosomal RNA, 290 nt
Filed under: uncultured bacterium
Lineage: Bacteria
Description: partial 16S ribosomal RNA
Rfam family: Bacterial small subunit ribosomal RNA
Source: RNAcentral